Long non-coding RNA from Drosophila ficusphila, 516 nucleotides. RefSeq lists it as uncharacterized. The record is from RefSeq and is a predicted model, not a curated record. Lineage: Eukaryota; Metazoa; Arthropoda; Insecta; Diptera; Drosophilidae. The transcript is spliced from 2 exons.
UAAAUAAUGGUUUAAUGAUUUUAUUUGUUUAUUUGUUUCCGGCAUCCAAACAAUUAACUCUAACGAACUGCAAACUACACAAAAUGCAAACAACAACAAAAAAAUAAACAAAAACUCAAACGAAAACAAUAAUGAUCAUAAAAAAUUCACAGACACGCUGCGUGUCAAAGUACAAUGGGCCUUCGAGUUUUAAUUGCCACAGCGUGGACAGGAACGUUGUCGCCAUCGUCCUGCCACAGGAAUUAUGUAGAAUUCGGCGACAGGAGCAGCAGCACAAAAUUUGGGUUUAAUGGCAUUGCGUGAGUUUAGCGCAUUAGGAAGAAAAUGCUGAACAGGGAAGAGCAGAUCGCACACGUAAGUAAUGCUCUAAAGUCAUACUUAUAUUUAUGUCUGCCCGUUUGUUCAGCGUUUUUUUACACAACACAAACACUAUGAUACUUGUAAUAACAAUUAACAAUUAACUUUUUAUGGGCUCAUGCAUGUUGUUGGACAUAUAAUAAAUGUUUGUUAAUUCCA